Non-coding RNA from Marasmius tenuissimus, 85 nucleotides. The record is from the annotation of a GenBank genome assembly. NCBI's taxonomy places the organism in Eukaryota, Fungi, Basidiomycota, Agaricomycetes, Agaricales, Marasmiaceae.
GGCCGCCUGGCGAAAUGGCAUCGCGUCUGACUACGAUAUUCACGUCGAGAUCAGGAGAUUGCAGGUUCGACCCCUGCGGUGGUCA